RNAcentral lists this ribosomal RNA (504 nucleotides) under uncultured bacterium. RNAcentral describes it as "partial 16S ribosomal RNA". It matches the Rfam family "Bacterial small subunit ribosomal RNA", at positions 28 to 507 of the family's 1533-position model. The record is from RNAcentral.
GACGAACGCUGGCGGCGUGCCUAAUACAUGCAAGUAGAACGCACAGUUUAUACCGUAGCUUGCUACACCAUAGACUGUGAGUUGCGAACGGGUGAGUAACGCGUAGGUAACCUGCCUGGUAGCGGGGGAUAACUAUUGGAAACGAUAGCUAAUACCGCAUAAUAUUAAUUAUUGCAUGAUAAUUAAUUGAAAGGUGCAAUUGCACCACUACCAGAUGGACCUGCGUUGUAUUAGCUAGUAGGUGAGGUAACGGCUCACCUAGGCGACGAUACAUAGCCGACCUGAGAGGGUGAUCGGCCACACUGGGACUGAGACACGGCCCAGACUCCUACGGGAGGCAGCAGUAGGGAAUCUUCGGCAAUGGACGAAAGUCUGACCGAGCAACGCCGCGUGAGUGAAGAAGGUUUUCGGAUCGUAAAGCUCUGUUGAAGAGAAGAACGGGUGUGAGAGUGGAAAGUUCACACUGUGACGGUAUCUUACCAGAAAGGGACGGCUAACUACGUG